UCGUUUAUGCGGUCGACGAUCUUGAGGCCUGGGCCGAGCGCGGCGCCGUCACCUCCACCUCCGAUCCGCGCGGCAGCGUGCUUCCGGCCAAGCGCCAUACGCCUGCGCCGCCGGCACAUGCCGGACGAUACGCGCGCUGAUCGCCCCCGGAUUCCCGAAUGGCGGCGCGACACCAGUCCCUCUCGGAGCGCGGGCAGCUCGAUCUGUUCCGUGCGCUCCCCGGCGAGUUCGCAGCACGAGACGCACAGGAUCUCAUGGCCUAUCCGUUU
RNAcentral lists this unclassified non-coding RNA (269 nucleotides) under Hevea brasiliensis (rubber tree). Lineage: Eukaryota; Viridiplantae; Streptophyta; Magnoliopsida; Malpighiales; Euphorbiaceae. The record is from RNAcentral.